MicroRNA precursor from Nicotiana attenuata, 97 nucleotides. It matches the Rfam family "MIR6152 microRNA precursor family". Lineage: Eukaryota; Viridiplantae; Streptophyta; Magnoliopsida; Solanales; Solanaceae. The record is from Rfam.
UGGACAGAUUAUUGUAUUCAACUAUAUUUACGGCGUGAAAUAGGGAAUUACACUGUUUUUAAAACGGAAAGUGAAUCAAUUAACAUAAUAGACUCCU